Molecule: ribosomal RNA, 323 nt
Filed under: uncultured eukaryote
Lineage: Eukaryota
Description: partial 18S ribosomal RNA
Rfam family: Eukaryotic small subunit ribosomal RNA
Source: RNAcentral
CCCUUAGAUGUUCUGGGCCGCACGCGUGCUACACUGAGUGGAUCAGCGGGUCAGGUUGCGCGAAAGCGUUUCCUAAUCUUUAAAUCCGCUCGUGAUGGGGAUUGACGGUUGCAAUUUUCUGUCAUGAACGAGGAAUACCUUGUAAGCGCGGGUCAUCAUCCCGCGCUGAAUACGUCCCUGCCCUUUGUACACACCGCCCGUCGCACCAAUUGAUUGGAUGACUCGAUGAAAAAUCAGGACUGAGAUUUCUUUUGCUUCAUUGCAGAGGAAGUUUUGGGAAUCUUUUUAAAUCUCGUUAUCUAGAGAUUGGUGAAGUCGUAACA